GAGUUUGAUCAUGGCUCAGGAUGAACGCUAGCGGCAGGCUUAACACAUGCAAGUCGAGGGGUAUAGUAGCAAUACUAGAGACCGGCGCACGGGUGCGUAACGCGUAUGCAAUCUACCUUUUGCAGGGGAAUAGCCCAGAGAAAUUUGGAUUAAUGCCCCAUAGUACUACAACUUGGCAUCAAGAUGUAUUUAAAGUAACAACGGCAAAAGAUGAGCAUGCGUCCCAUUAGCUAGUUGGUAAGGUAACGGCUUACCAAGGCUACGAUGGGUAGGGGUCCUGAGAGGGAGAUCCCCCACACUGGUACUGAGACACGGACCAGACUCCUACGGGAGGCAGCAGUGAGGAAUAUUGGUCAAUGGGCGCAA
This 366-nucleotide ribosomal RNA is filed under the name uncultured bacterium. RNAcentral describes it as "bacterial SSU rRNA". It matches the Rfam family "Bacterial small subunit ribosomal RNA", at positions 9 to 380 of the family's 1533-position model. The record is from RNAcentral.